GCUUUACUGUAGCCUGGGUAUUGGGUUCGGGCUUUGUUUGCGCAGGAUAGGUGGGAGGCUGUGAGAUUGCCCUGUGUGGGGGCAGUGGAGCCAACGGUGGAGAUACCACUCUAACAAAGCUAGAAUUCUAACCCUCUGCCGUCAUCCGGCGAAGGAACAGUAUCAGGUGGGGCAGUUUGACUGGGGCGGUCGCGCCUCCUAAAAGGUAACGGAGGCGCGGCAAAGGUCUUCUCUCAGGCUGGUUGGAAAUCAGCCGUAGAGUGUAAAAGCACAAGAGAGCUUGACUGUGAGACUAACAGCGUCAAACAGGGACGAAAGUCGGCUUUAGCGAUCCGACGGCGCUGCGUGGAAAGGCCGUCGCUAAACGGAUAAAAGUUA
Molecule: ribosomal RNA, 378 nt
Filed under: uncultured alga
Lineage: Eukaryota
Description: bacterial LSU rRNA
Rfam family: Bacterial large subunit ribosomal RNA
Source: RNAcentral